UCAGGACGAACGCUGGCGGCGUGCUUCAUACAUGCAAAGUCGAACGAUAAGGCGUCUUCGGACGUACAUAAGUGGCGGACGGGUGAGUAAAAUGUAGAGAAUCUGCCCCAGAGCGGGGGACAACAGCUGGAAACGGUUGCUAAUACCCCAUAUGAGCGUAGUUGAAAUGCUAUUCUUGAAAACUCCGGUGCUCUGGGAUGAGUCUGCAUCUGAUUAGCUAGUUGGGGGUGUAAUGGACCACCAAGGCGACGAUCAGUAGCUGGUUUGAGAGGAUGAUCAGCCACAAUGGGACUGAGACACGGCCCAUACUCCUACGGGAGGCAGCAGUAGGGAAUUUUGCGCAAUGGGGGAAACCCUGACGCCAGCAACGCCGCGUGAUUGAAGGAAGCCCUUCGGGGUGUAAAGAUCUGUCAGUGGGGACGAAAGAUGACGGUACCCACAGAGGAAGCAUCGGCUAACUCCGUGCCAGCCGCGGC
This 476-nucleotide ribosomal RNA is filed under the name uncultured bacterium. RNAcentral's name for it is "bacterial SSU rRNA". It matches the Rfam family "Bacterial small subunit ribosomal RNA", at positions 24 to 518 of the family's 1533-position model. The record is from RNAcentral.